UUUAAGCUUCCUAGGGAGGCUGCAGUGGGGAAUCUUAGACAAUGGGGGAAACCCUGAUCUAGCCAUGCCGCGUGAUCGAUGAAGGCCUUAGGGUUGUAAAGAUCUUUCAGGUGGGAAGAUAAUGACUGUACCACCAGAAGAAGCCCCGGCUAACUCCGUGCCAGCAGCCGCGGUAAUACGGAGGGGGCUAGCGUUGUUCGGAAUUACUGGGCGUAAAGCGCACGUAGGCGGAUCAGAAAGUCAGAGGUGAAAUCCCAGGGCUCAACCUUGGAACUGCCUUUGAAACUCCUGAUCUUGAGGUCGAGAGAGGUGAGUGGAAUUCCGAGUGUAGAGGUGAAAUUCGUAGAUAUUCGGAGGAACACCAGUGGCGAAGGCGGCUCACUGGCUCGAUACUGACGCUGAGGGGCGAAAGCGUGGGGAGCAAACAGGAUUAGAUACCCUUGUAGUCGA
RNAcentral lists this ribosomal RNA (450 nucleotides) under uncultured bacterium. RNAcentral's name for it is "bacterial SSU rRNA". It matches the Rfam family "Bacterial small subunit ribosomal RNA", at positions 330 to 797 of the family's 1533-position model. The record is from RNAcentral.